CUCUCUCUCUCUGUCUGUCUGUCUCUCUCUCUCUCUCUGUCUCUCUCUCUGUCCCUCUUCCUCUCUCUGUCUCUCUCUGUGUGUAUGUGUGUGUGUGUGUGUGUGUGUGUGUGUGUGUAGUCGCUGUUCGCUAGACCGGUGUGUGUGUUUUUUUCUAAUCCGUGAAACCAGCUUCACUACGCAUGCCUUUAGAGCUAGCUAACCCCCCCCCAUUCAGUUACCAAUGGACUACUUGACGGUUGUUAACCAUGGUAACACUUUACCUAACUACUGAGGGUCAGGGUGGGUUUGACGUCACUGCACAACUAACUAGUACCUAUAUCUAUAUUAUACUGUGUAUAUCUACUGAUGUAUGUGGCCUGUUGGUGUACUGUACCUGUAUAUAUAAGUGGUCCCCCCCCGUAUACCUCUGGUCUAAAGUAGUGUACUACAGGGGGCCAUUUAGUGGUGCGACAGGUACCUGUAUAUAUCAGGGGCCCCUCGUGGUCCCCCCCUCCCCCGUAUACCUCUGGUCUAAAGUAGUGGACUAUAGAGGGUGUAGUGUACCUCUGGUCUAAAGUAGUGCACUACAGGGGGCCAUUUAGUGGGGCGGCAGGUAGCCUAGUGGUUAGAGCGUUGGACUAGUAACCGAAAGGUUGCUGGAUGGAAUCCCCGAGCUGACAAGGUUAACAGUUAACCCACUGUUUCCCGGUAGGCAGUUAACCCACUGUUUCCCGGUAGGCAGUUAACCCACUGUUCCCCCGGUAGGCAGUUAACCCACUGUUUCCCGGUAGGCAGUUAACCCACUGUUUCCCGGUAGGCAGUUAACCCACUGUUUCCCGGUAGGCAGUUAACCCACUGUUAACCCACUGUUUCCCGUAGGCAGUUAACCCACUGUUUCCCGGUAGGCAGUUAACCCACUGUUUCCCGGUAGGCAGUUAACCCACUGUUCCCCGGUAGGCAGUUAACCCACUGUUCCCCGGUAGGCAGUUAACCCACUGUUUCCCGGUAGGCAGUUAACCCACUGUUUCCCGGUAGGCAGUUAACCCACUGUUUCCCGGUAGGCAGUUAACCCACUGUUCCCGGUAGGCAGUUAACCCACUGUUUCCCGGUAGGCAGUUAACCCACUGUUUCCCGGUAGGCAGUUAAC
Oncorhynchus tshawytscha (Chinook salmon) is the source of this 1129-nucleotide long non-coding RNA. Lineage: Eukaryota; Metazoa; Chordata; Actinopteri; Salmoniformes; Salmonidae. The record is from Ensembl.